UUCUUCCUUCUCUGUGCCGACUGUGCGACUUUCUUCUCUGUUCGAAGAAAGCCUAGCAAAAAAAUUCACUUACCAGCCGGCAGCUGACUCUGACUGAUUUAGAUCUACACCCUCACUCCGUUCGUCGCCGACGCCGUUGCUCGCCGCAUCUGUGAGACUCCAUCGCCAUCGCCAUCGCCUUAACAAGUCCCAAGUCCCAAAUCGAAGCUGCUCUCUGCCUCUCCGGCCUCCGCCAGUCCGCCGCGCUCUACGUCUCCUGUCGGCUGUGUCCUGCCGUGCUGGUUCAUCGCUGCCGAGUGUCGAAGACGAAGCACCAAGAUCUCACUAGUUCAUCGCUGGUUCAUCAGUGCUCAUCUCUGGCUCACUUAGUCGGGCAGAAUCUUUGUCAAGAAAAUGCAAAGUGGCACUAGACAUUCAACGAGUAGCUCAAGAUUAGAAGGCAAUGUCGAAGGAGUUGGAAGCCAAGACAAUCAAACAAUUCGACUUGCCAAAGCUUUGAAGAUUUAUGUUUCUAAAUCUAGAUUAGCUCAUUAUUUGGACCUUGUUAAUUUAUGAGACGUAACUUAUUAUGUAUUGUGGAGUAUGUUUAUAUUUUAAAGCCUUUUUCUUUCAUUUGCUGUAUGACUAUUGUGUGAGCAGGCUGGCCGCUGGUUAAUGACAUGUUAAUGUGUAGGAUAAAUGUCUA
Molecule: long non-coding RNA, 685 nt
Organism: Coffea arabica (coffee)
Lineage: Eukaryota; Viridiplantae; Streptophyta; Magnoliopsida; Gentianales; Rubiaceae
Source: RefSeq, a predicted model, not a curated record